RNAcentral lists this ribosomal RNA (423 nucleotides) under uncultured bacterium. Its description in RNAcentral is "bacterial SSU rRNA". It matches the Rfam family "Bacterial small subunit ribosomal RNA", at positions 207 to 622 of the family's 1533-position model. The record is from RNAcentral.
AAGACCUUGCGCUUUUGGAGCGGCCGAUGCCUGAUUAGCUUGUUGGUAAGGUAAAAGCUUACCAAGGCUUCGAUCAGUAGCUGGUCUGAGAGGACGACCAGCCACACUGGGACUGAGACACGGCCCAGACUCCUACGGGAGGCAGCAGUGGGGAAUUUUGGACAAUGGGCGCAAGCCUGAUCCAGCCAUGCCGCGUGAGUGAAGAAGGCCUUCGGGUUGUAAAGCUCUUUCAGCCGGGAAGAAAUGGCUGCGACUAAUAAUCGCAGUUCAUGACGGUACCGGAAGAAGAAGCACCGGCUAACUACGUGCCAGCAGCCGCGGUAAUACGUAGGGUGCGAGCGUUAAUCGGAAUUACUGGGCGUAAAGGGUGCGCAGGCGGUUUUGUAAGUCAGAUGUGAAAUCCCCGGGCUUAACCUGGGAACU